RNAcentral lists this ribosomal RNA (388 nucleotides) under Glaesserella parasuis. RNAcentral's name for it is "partial 23S ribosomal RNA". It matches the Rfam family "Bacterial large subunit ribosomal RNA", at positions 53 to 477 of the family's 2925-position model. Lineage: Bacteria; Pseudomonadati; Pseudomonadota; Gammaproteobacteria; Pasteurellales; Pasteurellaceae. The record is from RNAcentral.
AGGACGUGCUAAUCUGCGAAAAGCUUGGAUGAGUUGAUAAGAAGCGUUUAAUCCAAGAUAUCCGAAUGGGGAAACCCAGUAGAUGAAGAAUCUACUAUCAAUAGAUGAAUACAUAGUCUGUUGAGGCAAACCGGGAGAACUGAAACAUCUAAGUACCCCGAGGAAAAGAAAUCAACCGAGAUUUUGUCAGUAGCGGCGAGCGAAAACGAAAGAGCCAGCAAGUGAUAGCAGCAAAGACAGAAGAAUUGGCUGGGAAGCCAAGCGACACAGGGUGAUAGCCCCGUAUUUUAAGUUUAUGUUGUGGUACUAAACUUGCAACAAGUAGGGCGGGACACGAGAAAUCCUGUUUGAAGAUGGGGGGACCAUCCUCCAAGGCUAAAUACUCCUG